RNAcentral lists this ribosomal RNA (1018 nucleotides) under Nestor notabilis (Kea). RNAcentral describes it as "partial 16S ribosomal RNA". It matches the Rfam family "Bacterial large subunit ribosomal RNA", at positions 848 to 2567 of the family's 2925-position model. Lineage: Eukaryota; Metazoa; Chordata; Aves; Psittaciformes; Psittacidae. The record is from RNAcentral.
GCUGGUUGCCUGCAAGACGAAUUUAAGUUCUCCCUUAACUCAUACCCACCGGGCAACUACCCCAACCCUUAUGUAACGAGCUAAGAGCUAUUUAAAGGGGGUACAGCCCCUUUAAAAAAGGACACAACCUCCACUAGCGGAUAACCCCCCCCCAUAAAUAAGUUGUGGGCCCUAAAGCAGCCACCCUUAAAGAGUGCGUCAAAGCUCUAAAAAGACAAAAAUCCAAUAAACAACGCGACUCCCUAUACCCCCAACAGGCCAACCUAUUCUUAUAGAUGAAUUAAUGCUAGAAUGAGUAACCAGGACAUCCCGUCCCCUCAAGCGCAAACUUGUAUUCACCAUUAACAGCACAGAAAUACUAACAUCCACAACACAAGCUCAAGUAUUACUUAUACCCUGUCAACCCAACUCAGGAGCGCACACUAGGAUGAUUAAAACCUGCAAAAGGAAUUCGGCAAAUCAAAGGCCCGACUGUUUACCAAAAACAUAGCCUUCAGCCAAACUAGUAUUGAAGGUGAUGCCUGCCCAGUGACACCACGUUUAACGGCCGCGGUAUCCUAACCGUGCGAAGGUAGCGCAAUCAAUUGUCCCAUAAAUCGAGACCUGUAUGAACGGCUAAACGAGGUCUUAACUGUCUCCUGCAGGUAAUCAGUGAAACUGAUCUCCCUGUACAAAAGCAGGGAUAAUCACAUAAGACGAGAAGACCCUGUGGAACUUCAAUAUCAAUGGUCACAACACAUCAAACAAAAACCUAUCAGGCCCACCAACUUACAACACUGACCAGCAUAUUUCGGUUGGGGCGACCUUGGAGAAAAACAAACCCUCCAAAGAUAAGACCAAAUCCCUUAACUAAGAGCAACACCUCAAUGUGCAAAUAGCAACCAGACCCAAUAUAAUUGACCAAUGAACCUAGCUACCCCAGGGAUAACAGCGCAAUCUCCCCCAAGAGCCCUUAUCGACGGGGAAGUUUACGACCUCGAUGUUGGAUCAGGACAUCCUAGUGGUGCAGCUGCUACCA